Molecule: long non-coding RNA, 235 nt
Organism: Arabidopsis thaliana (thale cress)
Lineage: Eukaryota; Viridiplantae; Streptophyta; Magnoliopsida; Brassicales; Brassicaceae
Product: other RNA
Exons: 1
Source: RefSeq
AUCAGGACCCAACUGAGUCUGAAUCCCAUUUAGAUUCUGACCAGAAAACGCUGUUCCAGACAAACCAGUACCUAAUGGAAUACCGUUGAUACCGUUAACCGUUGGCAUUGCCCCAUUUGCGUUGGGUAUGGCUACACCGUUUUGCGGUGGAACAAAACCGAUCUGCUUAGCAAACGGUACUUGACCGUUGUAGAUGUUUCCAAGCAAACCCGUAAUGGGUCUUGCUGUGGGACUG